UGGUCAAGCUACAAAGGGCUCACGGUGGAUACCUUGGCACACAGAGGCGAUGA
RNAcentral lists this ribosomal RNA (53 nucleotides) under uncultured Prochlorococcus sp. RNAcentral's name for it is "partial 23S ribosomal RNA". Lineage: Bacteria; Bacillati; Cyanobacteriota; Cyanophyceae; Synechococcales; Prochlorococcaceae. The record is from RNAcentral.